Molecule: ribosomal RNA, 429 nt
Filed under: Fusobacteriota bacterium
Lineage: Bacteria; Fusobacteriati; Fusobacteriota
Description: Fusobacteria bacterium partial 16S ribosomal RNA
Rfam family: Bacterial small subunit ribosomal RNA
Source: RNAcentral
UGGGGAAUAUUGCACAAUGGACGAAAGUCUGACGGAGCAACGCCGCGUGAGUGAAGACGGCCUUCGGGUUGUAAAGCUCUGUGAUCCGGGACGAAAGAGCCUGAGGUGAAUAGCCUAAGGAAGUGACGGUACCGGAAAAGCAAGCCACGGCUAACUACGUGCCAGCAGCCGCGGUAAUACGUAGGUGGCAAGCGUUGUCCGGAAUUAUUGGGCGUAAAGCGCGCGCAGGCGGCUUCCUAAGUCCAUCUUAAAAGUGCGGGGCUUAACCCCGUGAUGGGAUGGAAACUGGGAAGCUGGAGUAUCGGAGAGGAAAGUGGAAUUCCUAGUGUAGCGGUGAAAUGCGUAGAGAUUAGGAAGAACACCGGUGGCGAAGGCGACUUUCUGGACGAAAACUGACGCUGAGGCGCGAAAGCGUGGGGAGCAAACAGG